RNAcentral lists this transfer-messenger RNA (363 nucleotides) under Escherichia coli. It matches the Rfam family "transfer-messenger RNA". Rfam says of the family: Bacterial tmRNA, also known as 10Sa RNA or SsrA, is named for its dual tRNA and mRNA-like properties. Its role is to liberate the mRNA from a stalled ribosome. Lineage: Bacteria; Pseudomonadati; Pseudomonadota; Gammaproteobacteria; Enterobacterales; Enterobacteriaceae. The record is from RNAcentral.
GGGGCUGAUUCUGGAUUCGACGGGAUUUGCGAAACCCAAGGUGCAUGCCGAGGGGCGGUUGGCCUCGUAAAAAGCCGCAAAAAAUAGUCGCAAACGACGAAAACUACGCUUUAGCAGCUUAAUAACCUGCUUAGAGCCCUCUCUCUCUAGCCUCCGCUCUUAGGACGGGGAUCAAGAGAGGUCAAACCCAAAAGAGAUCGCGUGGAAGCCCUGCCUGGGGUUGAAGCGUUAAAACUUAAUCAGGCUAGUUUGUUAGUGGCGUGUCCGUCCGCAGCUGGCAAGCGAAUGUAAAGACUGACUAAGCAUGUAGUACCGAGGAUGUAGGAAUUUCGGACGCGGGUUCAACUCCCGCCAGCUCCACCA